GGAGGCCACCCUUGAAACCUCCAUAACUUUCUUAAAUUAACUCCAAUUCUCAUGCUUUUGUACACUUUUUCAUAGGAUUCUUUAUGCUCUUUCACUUUUUCACCACAAAGAUCCUCAAAAGUCUUUCUUCUACACUUUUUCUCACUAGUUGAACAUUUUAGAGAGAGAGACUCUUCAAUUUAGCUUGAGAAAACCCUUAAAAGAAUUUCCCCUCUUCAAUCCUUACUAAAGGAUUCAACUGCAAGUUCACUAAGGUGAGUAAUGAGUUAGGUUUGAUUUUUAAGUUGUUGAUGAAUGGCUAAUAAUUAGAAUUGUGGGUUGUCUUAUUGUUGAAGGUUGUUUAUUUAUUUCUAGUGUGACUAAAGUAGUGCAAACUAAUGACAAGUCAAAUGGUAAAUGGGAAACUAGUUUGGAAUAACUAGCAAAGUUUGAUUUAGAAAAUAGCUUUUGGAAUAAUGUUCAUGUCAAUUGAUUUGUUUGUGAUGCUAUUGUGUGUGAUAGGUUCCAACGAGACCCCACAUCUCCACUUGGAGCAUUAGUGGAAGUUGGAGUUGAUUAAAGAAUCAACAAAGACAAGUGAGUGAACUUGCAUUAAAAUAUUUUGGGAUAAAUGCAUAAGUGUUUGAUUGAAUCACCUGAAAUAUUUUAUUGGUCUUUUCUUUAAAAUAUGCAUGGGAACAAGUUUUUGAUGAAACAUUUUUAUGUUGUGAAAUGUGGAAUGUGAUGAAUUCAUGUGUUCCUAUAUUAUGAUGAUAUGUAUGUUAUGCCUUAGAUGAUAAUGUUGUGUGUUAAUUACAACCGAGCUUGUGCGGUGUGGGAGUGCACAUGUCGGUGAUGAUGUGGUGUGGGAGUGUACAUGAUGAUAUUGGCCAUGUGCAGUGUGGGAAUGCACAUGACAGUAUUAGCUAUGUGCAGUGUGGGAGUGCACAUGAUGACCUAGCUAUGUGUAGCUAUGUGCGGUGUGGGAGUGCACAUGAGCUGGUGAGCCGGUAGUUGUAUACAUGUUUACACAUACCAUAAAAAGGUUAGGAAAAAUAUUAUGUGAAUGCAUUGAAUGUUGAAUGUUGAAAUUGUUAAAUGCUUCCAAAUUUAUUUUCAUUGUAGCAAGAAUGGAUUUUCGUUGUAACAAGAAUUCUUCUAAUUUAAUAGCCCUAGUUUUUGCUGCAGUGAGAAACUCUUGGGUGCUUGGGGGCUUGACCUAGCCUUGGUUUUCGCUACAGCAAGAAACUUUCAGGUAGUUCCUACCCAGAAUUUCGAUGCAGGAAAAUUGUAUUCUCACUGCGGCGAGAAACUCUCUACCUUACUUGAAUAUUUGCUAUAGUUUCCACUCUUUAACUUCAUUGUUGGUUAUGGACCUUUCAACACUAAGGGAUUAAGUAAUCAAGGGUUGAAUUAAGGGGUUUUAACAAGAAAUUAAGGUAAAGUAUAUUGUUUUUAACAUAAGUGCAUCAUGCUUUCUAAAACUUUCCUUAUCGUUUGCUUGUUCCAUUCUUAUGUUCACGCACUGGGUUUAUACUCACUUUUUUCAACUUCAUGUUUUCGGAUUCAGAGGCAGUUGGGAUCUAGAUUGAGGUGUUCAUGUAUAUUCGUCUUUUUGGUAGGUACCAUGGCAUUCAGUAGCUGUACCUUCACUCAAGGUCACUCCGAUGGUAAUCAAGAGUCUUUUGCUUGUGUAUACACACAUGUGAUGUAAAUCACUAAGAUUCAUGUUAUGAACAACAAAUGUAUAUUUUGAUGGAUGAUGCCACUAUGAGUUGGCAAUGGGUGACAAUAUUUUGGGUUAAUA
Molecule: long non-coding RNA, 1786 nt
Filed under: Theobroma cacao (cacao)
Lineage: Eukaryota; Viridiplantae; Streptophyta; Magnoliopsida; Malvales; Malvaceae
Description: long non-coding RNA (TCAC_LNC001841)
Source: RNAcentral